This 686-nucleotide long non-coding RNA is filed under the name Zostera marina. RNAcentral's name for it is "long non-coding RNA (ZMAR_LNC004246)". The record is from RNAcentral. Lineage: Eukaryota; Viridiplantae; Streptophyta; Magnoliopsida; Alismatales; Zosteraceae.
UCCUUUUGUGCUGUCCUAGGGUCUAUAAAUAGGACCCCUAGGUUCUCCUUCUCCUUCAUCCAUCCAUGGCUCUUCUUGUGAGUCUCUUUGCUGAUUUUAUUCAGGGAGAGAUUGAGGAGCUGGAUCGAAUUUUGAAUAUUUUGGAUCCUCGGUCGUCAACCUUGGAUCUUUCUUCUCUGCGCCAGCUUAUUGUUGAGCGGCAGAGUGUUGCUGUUGCUGCUAGGGAAUCAAUUUUUGAAGAAUGGUCUGGUGGCGAUCUUCCGCCCGUCUCUUCUUCUGUUGUCCCUCCUCGUGGCCGACGUCGGAGGCGUCCCCGCCGCGGUGCCUCCCCGCUGGAUCAGGUCCCUCGCCGCUUACGUUGCCGUAUCAAUUUUACUUAGGAACCUGUAAUAUUUUUCAUUCAUCAUUUUUAUGACUUUGAAUAAAUAUAUAUUUUUACCUUUUCCUUUAUUCGACUUACACCUUUACUUUGAAGUACGUUAGUGUAACCGAUGCUUUCUUUUGGUCAAUACCAUAUUCUUUUGUCAUUUUCUGAAGAAGUCGGAUUUUUGACGACAAGUCGAUCUCAUUUCUCCCUGGAAAUGUCGAUGUCGCUCAAAAAGUCGAUCUCAUCUUUUUCUGAGGAUGUCGAUGACUGCCGAUCCUUUUCUGAAGAUUUCGGAUUUUUGACAACAAGUCGAUCUCAU